GGAGAAGUAGCAAAGUGGCCAACUGCGCCUGACUGUAAAUCAGGUCUCUUCGAGUUCGCACGUUCGAAUCGUGCCUUCUCCA
Molecule: transfer RNA, 82 nt
Filed under: Picobiliphyte sp. MS584-11
Lineage: Eukaryota; Picozoa
Description: tRNA-Tyr
Rfam family: tRNA
About the family: Transfer RNA (tRNA) molecules are approximately 80 nucleotides in length. Their secondary structure includes four short double-helical elements and three loops (D, anti-codon, and T loops). Further hydrogen bonds mediate the characteristic L-shaped molecular structure. tRNAs have two regions of fundamental functional importance: the anti-codon, which is responsible for specific mRNA codon recognition, and the 3' end, to which the tRNAs corresponding amino acid is attached (by aminoacyl-tRNA synthetases). tRNAs cope with the degeneracy of the genetic code in two manners: having more than one tRNA (with a specific anti-codon) for a particular amino acid; and 'wobble' base-pairing, i.e. permitting non-standard base-pairing at the 3rd anti-codon position.
Source: RNAcentral